AUGCAUCCUAUGUGCCUUGCCAUGGGCCAUGUCUCCGAUGCAUGGCAUUGGCAUGCCCGGCUAGGACACCAGCACUUUGACGGGUUGCGGAAGAUGGCGCGAGGCAAUCUCGUUCACGGGCUACCUCACAUCGAGCACGCCGACGAGCUGUGCGAUGCGUGUCUUGCUGGGAAGCAGCGGCGCCUGCCCUUUCCAGAGAAGGCACGCUAUGGGUCGCAGAAACCCCUGGAGCUGGAUCAUGGGGACCUCUGCGGCCCAAUCACCCCGGCAAUGCCAGGAGGGCGUCGCUACAUCCUGCUGCUCGUCGACGACUAUAGCAGGUUCAUGUGGGUGCUUCUCCUCGCCUCCAAGGAUGAGGCAGAGUGUGCCAUCGUCAAGCAGCAAGCGGCAGCAGAGGUCGAGUGUGGCCACAAGUUGCGCGUGCUGCGCACGGACCGUGGCGGCGAGUUCACGUCGGCCACGUUCUACAAGCACUGCGACGAGAAAGGGGUGCAACAUCACCUAACAGCCCCU
This 513-nucleotide ribosomal RNA is filed under the name Triticum aestivum (bread wheat). RNAcentral describes it as "partial small subunit ribosomal RNA". The record is from RNAcentral. Lineage: Eukaryota; Viridiplantae; Streptophyta; Magnoliopsida; Poales; Poaceae.